AACAAGGCGUACCUGCGGACCUGCGGAAGGAUCAUUACAGAGUUAUCCAACUCCCAAACCCAUGUGAACUUAUCUCUUUGUUGCCUCGGCGCAAGCUACCCGGGACCCAGCGCCCCGGGCGGCCCGCCGGCGGACAAACCAAAACUCUUGUUAUCUUAGUUGAUUAUCUGAGCGUCUUAUUUAAUAAGUCAAAACUUUCAACAACGGAUCU
Molecule: unclassified non-coding RNA, 211 nt
Filed under: soil metagenome
Description: partial contains 5.8S ribosomal RNA, internal transcribed spacer 2, and large subunit ribosomal RNA
Source: RNAcentral